GACGAACCGGACAAACGUUAUUCGGAAUUACUGGGCUUAAAGGGUUUGUAGGCGGCCUUGUAAGUCAGGUGUGAAAUCCCUCGGCUCAACCGAGGAAUAGCGCUUGAUACUGCAAGGCUUGAGGGAGACAGGGGUAAGCGGAACUGAUGGUGGAGCGGUGAAAUUCGUAGAUAUCGCGAGGAACACCAGUGGCGAAGGCGGCUCUCUGGGCAGGUACCGACGCUGAGACGCGAAAGCGUGGGAAGCAAACAGG
RNAcentral lists this ribosomal RNA (253 nucleotides) under uncultured bacterium. RNAcentral's name for it is "partial 16S ribosomal RNA". It matches the Rfam family "Bacterial small subunit ribosomal RNA", at positions 524 to 776 of the family's 1533-position model. The record is from RNAcentral.